UUCCUUUAGAAACAGGAAGUUAAGCAUGCAAAACGCCAGCACCUCAAGUUUUGCUGUGUUUAGGCUGCUAGAAAACCCCGGGCUUCAGGGAAUGUUCCUUUUUUCAAGAGAUAUGCCUCUUCAAAUAGGUCUGGCUUUUGGUGGAUCUCGUGAAUGUCCUGGGAAUUUUGUCGGGGGGAGGGAUGGAACUGAAUCCCCUCACUGACUCUUCCUUGGGGCUGUCUUCCUGGGCUGUAGGCAAGGUCCCCAUUGACUGGCCAACGUUUCCCAAAGUCACUUCGUUCUAAUUCCCAAAGCUGUUGCCAGAGCACGUGAUACAGUUAAAGGCGGCCUAUGCCCUGUGUGCUGCUUACAUGCUUCCGGGACGUUCCCAUGGUCAGAGGCUCACUGGCAGAUGAAAGCCUGUGAUGUGACCCAAUGCUGAGCCGGCCCACAGAUUUGCCCUCAAGACAAUUGUUUGGAAGAGCCCUAUGGAAGGAGAUUCUGGACCACCUGCCAGGCAUGUACCUGAAUGAUUAUUGAAACCAUAAAAGACAACGUAUUUAUGUUGAUUGCACAGAGACGAGGAACCCAACAGCCCACCAGGUGCUCCUUGCCAUUUGGAUGCUCUCGUGGAUACUCCUCAAACUAUGUGUCUGCCGACUCUCAGCACCAUCACUAGAAAAAGGCUCCAGAUGCUGUUCAUGGACCAGCAGCAUCAGCAUCACCUUACAAGAAAUGCCAAAAUCUGAGGCCUACCCUGGACCUACUGCAUCAGAGUGUGCAUUUUUAACAAUAUUCCCCCAAACGCAUCAUAUUUACAUUAAAAAUCAAGAAGCAUCAUGCUAUCUGUUCCCCACAUUGGUUGUUCUACAUUUUUCUCACAGUGCUUAAUUCUUGAUUCCCCUGAUGGAUGAUUCUAUCAGUCAAGGUCCAAUAAGGAAAACAGAAAACAUUCUAAAGAUUUCAAACAGAAGGAAUUUAAUAUAGAAAACUGGUUACACGGGUGAUGGAAGAGCCUACUAGGACCAGGAAAUCGAGGCCAAUGAUAGCAAAGCCUGAAACUGUUGUCUUCUUUACAGUGAAGAGUUGUAAAAGGCAUGGAAACAACCUCACCAGUGAACUGCAUCCUGCCAGCCUUCCACUGAAUUGCCUUUCUGGCUUGGGAGGACUCAGCUGGUUGAAAAUUGCACAUCUUUUCAGAAAUAGGCAGGGGAGCGUGCCUGCAUCUGUAGCUCUGAACUUUAAAAGCGGAGUGUCGCUGACCGACCUAUUCUGUGCUCAUGGAGAGACGUCUUGCGACCUGGAUUAUAUACUCUGCUGCCUGAGGAAUGGGUGGGGUCAGUCUGAGCCCCCGAAGCACCCACAGAGCCCAGCUCUGUGCCUGGCAUGUGUUAGAAACCCAGUAUUUGCUGAAUAAGACACAGUAACUCAAAGCCAAAGACCUCAGUCAUCAUGCACUGCUUGCUCCACUUCCAGAUUUUUGUGGAAGCCCAGAGUCUCAGUCCUACCACGUGUAAAAUGGGGAUAAUACUACCAGCCCCACUUACGUCACAGCAUUAGUGUUAAGAUCAAAUGAGAUCGUGUUGUGAGUUUGUUCUAGCAAGCACGUAAAUUGUUUUUAUAAUGAUCUAAAUAAAAAAGCCUCACCCACCAAGGCUUGC
Molecule: long non-coding RNA, 1643 nt
Organism: Panthera uncia (snow leopard)
Lineage: Eukaryota; Metazoa; Chordata; Mammalia; Carnivora; Felidae
Exons: 4
Source: RefSeq, a predicted model, not a curated record